This 278-nucleotide ribosomal RNA is filed under the name uncultured Burkholderiales bacterium. RNAcentral's name for it is "partial 16S ribosomal RNA". It matches the Rfam family "Bacterial small subunit ribosomal RNA", at positions 505 to 782 of the family's 1533-position model. The record is from RNAcentral. Lineage: Bacteria; Pseudomonadati; Pseudomonadota; Betaproteobacteria; Burkholderiales.
GUGCCAGCAGCCGCGGUAAUACGUAGGGUGCAAGCGUUAAUCGGAAUUACUGGGCGUAAAGCGUGCGCAGGCGGUUUUGUAAGUCUGUCGUGAAAGCCCCGGGCUCAACCUGGGAAUUGCGAUGGAGACUGCAAGGCUUGAAUCUGGCAGAGGGGGGUAGAAUUCCACGUGUAGCAGUGAAAUGCGUAGAGAUGUGGAGGAACACCGAUGGCGAAGGCAGCCCCCUGGGUCAAGAUUGACGCUCAUGCACGAAAGCGUGGGGAGCAAACAGGAUUAGA